GGCUCAAUUGGCAGAGCAGCUGACUUGUAAUCAGCAGGUUAUCGGUUCAAGUCCGAUC
This 58-nucleotide transfer RNA is filed under the name Clostridium perfringens. RNAcentral describes it as "tRNA-Thr". It matches the Rfam family "tRNA", at positions 9 to 63 of the family's 71-position model. Rfam says of the family: Transfer RNA (tRNA) molecules are approximately 80 nucleotides in length. Their secondary structure includes four short double-helical elements and three loops (D, anti-codon, and T loops). Lineage: Bacteria; Bacillati; Bacillota; Clostridia; Eubacteriales; Clostridiaceae. The record is from RNAcentral.